AGAGUUUGAUCAUGGCUCAGAACGAACGCUGGCGGCAGGCCUAACACAUGCAAGUCGAACGUGAAGCCACCUUCGGGUGGUGGAAAGUGGCAGACGGGUGAGUAACGCGUGGGAACGUGCCUUUCGGUUCGGGAUAACCCAGGGAAACUUGGGCUAAUACCGGAUACGCCCUCCGGGGGAAAGAUUCAUUGCCGAAAGAUCGGCCCGCGUCGGAUUAGCUAGUUGGUGGGGUAAAAGCCUACCAAGGCGACGAUCCGUAGCUGGUCUGAGAGGAUGACCAGCCACACUGGGACUGAGACACGGCCCAGACUCCUACGGGAGGCAGCAGUGGGGAAUAUUGGACAAUGGGCGCAAGCCUGAUCCAGCCAUGCCGCGUGGGUGAAGAAGGCCCUAGGGUUGUAAACCCCUUUCAGCGGGGAAGAUAAUGACGGUACCCGCAGAAGAGC
RNAcentral lists this ribosomal RNA (446 nucleotides) under uncultured Prosthecomicrobium sp. Its description in RNAcentral is "bacterial SSU rRNA". It matches the Rfam family "Bacterial small subunit ribosomal RNA", at positions 8 to 490 of the family's 1533-position model. Lineage: Bacteria; Pseudomonadati; Pseudomonadota; Alphaproteobacteria; Hyphomicrobiales; Kaistiaceae. The record is from RNAcentral.